This 466-nucleotide ribosomal RNA is filed under the name uncultured bacterium. RNAcentral describes it as "partial 16S ribosomal RNA". It matches the Rfam family "Bacterial small subunit ribosomal RNA", at positions 28 to 507 of the family's 1533-position model. The record is from RNAcentral.
GACGAACGCUGGCGGCGUGCUUAACACAUGCAAGUCGAACGGAAAGGCCCUGCUUGCAGGGUACUCGAGUGGCGAACGGGUGAGUAACACGUGGGUGAUCUGCCCUGCACUUCGGGAUAAGCUUGGGAAACUGGGUCUAAUACCGGAUAGGAGCCAUCUUUAGUGUGGUGGUUGGAAAGUUUUUUCGGUGUAGGAUGAGCUCGCGGCCUAUCAGCUUGUUGGUGGGGUAAUGGCCUACCAAGGCGGCGACGGGUAGCCGGCCGGAGAGGGUGUACGGCCACAUUGGGACUGAGAUACGGCCCAGACUCCUACGGGAGGCAGCAGUGGGGAAUAUUGCACAAUGGGCGCAAGCCUGAUGCAGCGACGCCGCGUGGGGGAUGAAGGCCUUCGGGUUGUAAACUCCUUUCGCUAGGGACGAAGCUUUGUUGUGACGGUACCUAGAGAAGAAGCACCGGCUAACUACGUG